UUCCGGAUUUGUUGGCCGAACCUUGAAACUCUGAAAGUCCAUACUGAUAAAAAGAGAGCCGACUCAUUUUGAGUCGGCUCUCUUUUUAGGAAACUUGAUGCGGUUGCUCUGCCGAAACGUGCAAUGCGAUUCCGGCAAAGUAACUCACUGUUUAU
Molecule: microRNA precursor, 155 nt
Filed under: Tannerella forsythia KS16
Lineage: Bacteria; Pseudomonadati; Bacteroidota; Bacteroidia; Bacteroidales; Tannerellaceae
Source: RNAcentral